UAUUUCGGAAGCAUUCGCAAGAAGAGGGAAAACCCGCGAAUAACGGAGUUUUUUUCAAUCAAAAAUUUUAUCGGAGUCUGUUUCAGUGCACUCGCCGCCGAUGGCCGGGGAGGAGCCGUCCGCCGUCGCUUCUGGCGUCGACAGGGAUAUCUGGAGGGCGAUCGCAGGAUCAUCGGUGGAAAUUCCGCCGAUCGGUUCGUUGGUUUACUACUUCCCGCAGGGACACAUGGAACAGCAUGGAGUAGGCGAUUCGAAGCGUAACUGCUUCGAUGAAGUCGGUCGGAGUUACUUCUGUUGCCGAGUCCUGUCGGUUCGUUUGUGUGCGCAUCAUUCUUACGAUUCGGCGUUUGUUAAGUUUGUGCUCCAGCCGGAGGAGGAGUCGGAGGGAGCGGGGACGUGUGUUGGUGAGGAUGGCGGGGAGAGUGACGUGGUUGUUUUGGGGAAGGUUCUGACACUUUCUGACGCUAACAAUGGCGGAGGUUUUUCGGUUCCGAGGAUGUGCGCCGACUCCGUUCUUCCACGGCUCGAUUUUCAGGUGGAUCCGCCGGUACAAACAUUGGCCAUGAAGGAUGCGCACGGCAAAGUUUGGGAAUUUCGGCAUAUCUACCGAGGCACGCCGCGGCGCCAUUUGCUUACAACUGGCUGGAGCAAGUUCGUUAAUGAGAAGCGUCUCAUUGCCGGAGAUUCAGUUAUUUUUAUCAGGAAAAUCUCGACGAAUGAACUCUUCAUCGGAGUUAGGAAAUCCAGGAGAAGCGGUGGAUUCACGGGUUGGGAUUGCCAAGAUGACUUUUCCACUGGCGACGCCUCCGAGCCGUUGGAAGCAAUUCAAAACGCGGUUAAUGGAAAGGCGUUUGAGGUUGUGUAUAACCCGAGAAUUGGAUCGCCUGAUUUUGUGGUGAGAGUGGAGAAGGUCAAGAAUGCGUUGCAGAAGAGCUGGGGCACGGGGACACGAAUCAAAAUUUCUGUGGAGACGGAGGAUUCAGCUCAGGUGUCAUGGUUUCAGGGAACGGUGACCUCAGCCGCGAUUCCAGACUCUGGGCCGUGGAAAGGUUCUCCAUGGCGCUCGCUUGAGGUGAUUUGGAAUGAAGCUGAACCUCCAUUGAAGGACCUGAGCAAAGUGAACCCUUGGGAUGUUGUACAAGUUCAGUCCAUGCAACUGCGUGCUUCCACAUCCCCUCCUUCGAAGAGGAUCAAAACUGUGCAAAACUCAGCAAUUCUAACUGAUGGAACAAGAGUGCAAGAAUCUACCACUGCACCAAUGGCGGGUUCUAUCAAUUUAUCUAAGCACAAUUCUAUUUCUUCUCCUUCUGACAUGCAGGGAGCCAGGCAAGAUAAGAUCUACAGAUCCUGUGUAUCUAGCUACCAGAAUGAAACAUUCACUCCACCCCAUAGGAAUGACACAGAGCAUGGACUAGGAACAGUCUCAACGGUGGGAAGUAGUGUGAGUAUGCUUUCAGGCAGUUUGUCGCUUGGUCAUCAGAAUGGUGAUCAUUUCAGCUGUGAAGAUAGUAGCAACCAGAAAGGACAUAAAUCUCCCAUUACAAAACCUAAUACAAUACAGCUAUUUGGAAAGAUCAUUAUCUUCAACUCUGAUAAAGAUUCUCCAGAAAAUAAUGUUGGCAAAACAAAUGAUCAGGCAAGGAAGUGAACAUCAAGGGAAAUGGUAUAAACAUAUUCUUUCUUAGGAUAGUCAGUGCAGCGAUCAAAAGACAAGUCUAAUAGCAGUAGUGGUAGCAUUGGUAGAAUCCCUUUCUUGCAGACCUGGGGGCUCUUUCCAAUGCAAGUGCCUAAUGCUUCUGGUAUGGUCUUCCACUUCUGGCACACUACAACCAGCUUGUUCACUCUUCUGCGGUUUUUCCUCGG
This is an RNA transcript of Andrographis paniculata, 1863 nucleotides long. It is a transcript of the gene named auxin response factor 17-like, with no coding region annotated. NCBI's taxonomy places the organism in Eukaryota, Viridiplantae, Streptophyta, Magnoliopsida, Lamiales, Acanthaceae. The transcript is spliced from 3 exons. The record is from RefSeq and is a predicted model, not a curated record.